UGGGCAACCUGCCCCUCUCUCUGGGAUAACCUCGGGAAACCGGAGCUAAUACCGGAUACUCCGGCUGGAUCGCAUGGUCCGGCCGGGAAAGGUCCGCCGGAGAGGGAUGGGCCCGCGGCCUAUCAGCUUGUUGGUGGGGUCAUGGCUCACCAAGGCGACGACGGGUAGCUGGUCUGAGAGGACGACCAACCACACUGGAACUGAGACACGGUCCAGACUCCGUACGGGAGGCA
This 233-nucleotide ribosomal RNA is filed under the name uncultured bacterium. RNAcentral describes it as "partial 16S ribosomal RNA". It matches the Rfam family "Bacterial small subunit ribosomal RNA", at positions 118 to 350 of the family's 1533-position model. The record is from RNAcentral.